Molecule: long non-coding RNA, 327 nt
Organism: Ananas comosus (pineapple)
Lineage: Eukaryota; Viridiplantae; Streptophyta; Magnoliopsida; Poales; Bromeliaceae
Exons: 5
Source: RefSeq, a predicted model, not a curated record
UAACAGGGAUUCUAGCAGCUAGAGGAGAGAUUUUUAGCUGUGAAUUGACCCCCUUAGACCAGGGAUGAUCUAAUUUGAAGCUUGCUUAAGCAGGUUUCCGAACCACGUGGAGCUUAUUUGGUGACCUGGGGCGCUGGUUUAGAAAGUGUUCUACCUUGAGCAGGAGUGUGAUCGACUCUUGGAGUGAUUUUGGCUGACCUGUGGAAGCUCUUGAAGACUCAACUUGAGCAGAUCCAGGGACCGUUUGAGCUGAAUUUGGAGCAUCUCUUGGGCUGUUUUGAGCUUAGUGAUAGAGCCAUCUACAGGAGAGGCUAGGGACCGUGGCAA